AUACGUAGGGGGCGAGCGUUGUCCGGAAUUACUGGGCGUAAAGGGAGCGUAGGCGGCCGAUUAAGUUGGAUGUGAAAUCCCCGGGCUUAACUUGGGUGGUGCAUCCAAUACUGGUUGGCUAGAGUACAGGAGAGGAAAGCGGAAUUCCUGGUGUAGCGGUGAAAUGCAUAGAUAUCAGGAGGAACAUCGGUGGCGAAGGCGGCUUUCUGGACUGACACUGACGCUGAGGCUCGAAAGCGUGGGGAGC
RNAcentral lists this ribosomal RNA (247 nucleotides) under uncultured bacterium. RNAcentral's name for it is "partial 16S ribosomal RNA". It matches the Rfam family "Bacterial small subunit ribosomal RNA", at positions 523 to 769 of the family's 1533-position model. The record is from RNAcentral.